GCAUUAAUCUUUCUGUGGAGUUUUCCCUUCCGUUGUUGUUUAUUGAUAAUUAAACAUGGCUUCAUUUGCAAAGGUGGUUGUGUGUGUCCUGAUCGCUUGUGUCUGUAAUGCAUUCUGUUUUCCGAAGAGAGAUGUGAACUUUAAGGCCUCUGCAGUUGACCGCCAAAGUGAUGAUGUGGUUGUCACCACAACACCCGUUCCCCACAACCAGACCACAUCUGCCCAUACUGAAGCUGGCGGUGCAAGUGAAGAUGCUGUCGCUACUACCCCAGCACCUAAUCCACACAACCAGACAACUUCUGCACAAACUGAAGUUACUGAUGGAGCCAGUGAAGAUGCUGUGGACCGCCAAAGUGAUGAUGUGGUUGUGGCCACAACACCCGAUCCCCACAACCAGACCACAUCUGCCCAUACUGAAGCUGGUGGUGCAAGUGAAGAUGCUGUGGCUACUUCCCCAGCACCUAAUCCACACAACCAGACAACUUCUGCACAAACUGAAGUUACAG
This is a long non-coding RNA of Clupea harengus (Atlantic herring), 506 nucleotides long. The record is from Ensembl. NCBI's taxonomy places the organism in Eukaryota, Metazoa, Chordata, Actinopteri, Clupeiformes, Clupeidae.